UCAAGCCGGCCGCAAACUAGCUCUCAAUGCCUUUCCCCCGAGAAUCAACCUUCGCGGAUGCCAAAUCUGAUAAAAACCAAUAGGAAUACGUCAAAAUAGGCUAAUGAAAUAUAACCCAAUCGAAAUAACUCGAAAUACACCCAAAAACACGAAGUUGGCAAAACCCGAGCUCCGGGCCCACUUCUCGUAAAAUUACAAAAUUCCCAUUCCCAGAAUCCUCGUCUUGCCACGAAUCCAUUCAUAUAAAAUUUACAAGAAUCAGAAUCCAUUUGACCCCUCAAAUCCACACUUAAAGUUCACUUGGGCAUCAAGCCCUAACCACCAUUUUUAACAUUGAAAAGCUUGAUUCCCUAGUUUUAAAUCCAUGAUUUACUCUAUAUUAAUGUACUUUAGGUCCAAAAGAUCAUAACUGAAGAAUCCCCUCGAACAUAUCUCCAAAAAUCGCCCUCAAUGGCCUAAGUCCGAAGUUCAAUUGUUCUUCCUCUUUUUAAAAUUAUAAGAAACACUGCCGCACUAAAACAACCCGACUUCCGCUUCCGCUGCUCCCCGACCACUUACGCGGCUCCCGCUUCAGCGUCCAGUUGACCGCUUCUGCGGUCUGGUUCAAAUCCUCAGCGACUGGUUCUGCGGCCUUUCACCGCUUUCGUGGCUUCUGCUUAUGCGGUCACCUCACCGCUUCAGCGGUCCCAGCCUACUCCCCAUUGGCCGCUUCUGCGGCUCCCUUGCCGCUUCAGCGGACACCGCUUAGGCGAUCCUUCAUCCGCUUCUGCGGAAAUACCAGAAGGCAGGCACUCAAAACUGAAGCAAACUCCAAAAUCUUUGUUUAACCAUCCGGAAUCAGCCCGAGGCCAUCGGGGUCCAAACCACAAACACAAUUAUGACCAAAUACCUCAUUCAGACUUGCUCGAGCUCUGAAAACACCAACAUUAACACCAAAAAUCCUCAUUUUCUUCAAAUCAAAGCCUAGGAUAACUUAUAGUUUCCCAAAUUCUCAUUCGAUGCCGAAACCAACCAAUUCAGACUUGCUCGAGCUCUGAAAACACCAACAUUAACACCAAAAAUCCUCAUUUUCUUCAAAUCAAAGCCUAGGAUAACUUAUUGUUUCCCUAAUUCUCAUUCGAUACUGAAACCAACCAAACAAAGUCCGAAUGACCUGAAAAUUUUCACACAUAUCCAAAUUCACUUUCGAAAUUUCAUUCCGACCCUCGGAUCAAAUUCUGACCUAUCAACCGAAUUUCUCUAAAAUUCCAACUUCGCCAAACUAGGCUAACUUCAAUAUCGGACCUCCGAAUUCAUUUCCGUUCUCACUCGUAAGUCAAAAAUCAUCUCCUGAAGCUAACCGAAACAUUGAAAAUCACAUCCGAGCCUUCUAUCUCACAAGUCAACUUCCGGUUGACUUUUCUAAAAUAAGCUUUCUUCUAAGAGGCCAAAUGUCUUAUUUCCAACCAAAACCAAUUCAAUUACACUCGAUCGACUCCAAAACUGACAUUGAAACAUGAAGCAACACACUAAGGGAGAAACGGAGCAGUAACACAUAGUACGACGGAUCGGGUCGUCACAGUUUGUUUGUUGCUGGUAUCUGCUGCUGAACUCCAAUUUAAGAAGAUAUUUUAUUAUUUAUUUUGUUGCUGAAGGUACACACUCUAAACUCCCAUAUGUAGUUGGUUUCACCUUUGCACUAAUUGAUGCUUUGUGUGUUAACUGUGAUGUAGUAAUCAUGUAAAACAUUGAGUGAUUUUGAAAUGAUCAUUUCUUUUUGACAUUACUACCUCUCAUCUGCUCUGUCUUUAUUUGAGAAAUUUCUUUUGAUAUUCUGGGUUGUUUAAGAACAAGGCAUAAGUAUAAAUGUGUGCUAAGACUAUAAAGUGUUGUAAGUAGUAUGUCCAUGGUAGUACAAGUUCUGAAUCAGUUUAUAUACCCAUGAAACUAUAUCCAAAUUCCUUUCUUACAGCAGCACCGAAGGACAGUAAAUCUGACCCUUUAAAUGGUCAGAUUUAUCCCUUAAUAGUUGCAUAAAAGGCUUAAUUUAUUUGAUAUGUGUUCAAGUUAUUUCCCCCUUUUCCCUUUUUUCCUACUUUACUGAAGUGAGAGCAUGUGUUCAGUCUCUUUUGGUGAUUCUCUUUGAAAUAUAUUCUGAUGAUUACAGUCAUUUGCUUAAGCCUAUUGUAUUGGCCUCAAGUUCUACAUGAAUCACUGGAUAGUUUCCCUUUUCCUGAUUCCGAGACCAUUUUGCACAUUCUGUUAGUUUGAAAUUGCCAAAGCUAUCUUUGAUACUGUGUACUCUUAUGGUUUGUCAUAUUUGAGAAGAAAAGAGAGUUUCUGGGGUUUGAAGUUCAGCAGUGAUGUUUCUUUUAGUUAAUACAACAAUUGCUAGACAUUGAUUCUUAUGUUUUCUUAGUUUGUAAUGGACUAUAUGUAGUAUUUGUUGAUUUGCGUUGUUUGAAUCCUAGGUUCUAUGGUUAACAAAAAAAACCAUCGAUUCAGGAAUAUUAUUUUAAAAUUCUAUUUGUAAAAGUAUUCUGUUAAAUCACAAAGCUCUUAUAAUCAAGAUUGAGGAUGUGUUGAGAAGUUGAAGUCGUCCACACCUUGUUUUCUUUUGUUGAUUGUUUGAAAUAGUUAAGGGUGAAAAUGUUUCGACUUGCAUAUUGUCAGUGAUUGUGGGCUGAUUUGGUAGAGUGGUUGUGGUUAUCAUCUCUGUCCCAAGCAUGAGAGGAAUGCUGAAGCUUCCUUUGGAAAGUAUUCUCGCUUCUAGUUCUACUCAUGUUUUCUAAAUUAUGCUGAAAAUAUGUCAAAGAACUCCAUUGGUAGUUCUUUUCUAGUGUGCAAAUGAAGCUUUGAUUUGUUUGAUCUCAAAACCAUGUUCAACUUCCUGAACUUAUGCGCUUGAGUUGUUAAAUCACUUUAUGGGUUCCAUGCUAGCACUAAUUCAUCAUUGUUUAGUGUUGAAGAGUUUGAGGUUACAAAUUGCACAUUAUUUGGUUUAGUUUUUAUGGACAGUAGAAUUAGCCUAAUGAAGCAGUUAACAAUUUGAAAAUCACUAUAUCACUGUUGGCCUAUGCUUAGGGAGCUUCAAUUCCGGGUAUGUUUGUUCGCUUAUCAUUUUCUUGUUAUGGAACCCAAAGUUCAGAUCUAUAGUAAAUGGCGUAAUUUUGUUGGCUUUAUUUAGUAUGAAUUUUAAUUGUAAAGCUCUCUGUUUUGUUGGCUUCAAUGAUUAGUUGGCUUGAGAUGCGUACCUCCAUUUUCUUUGAAAUUAAUCAUGUGUAGUAAGUGUUGUUUCAUGUUCUUAAUCUGAGAUAAUCGAGUUCGCAUGUGAAAAGGAAGGAAGAAAUAAAUUAAGCAAAAGAUAUGGUAUUGUGGAGCAAGGAUUUCUCAUUUGAAUAGUUGCUGAAAUAUCGUGUUUGGCGUAUUGUUCAAUUUCAGCAAGAAAAUGCUUUUGGAUGAAUAUGUCUGUAAUAUAAAUAUUUACCUUUAGAUUUUAAUUAGUGAUAGCUAAUAUGAAUGAGAUUUUAUUAUGUUUGGACUCGCCACUCUUUUACCCUGCAUGUCUAUCUUCGUUAUUUUAAAUACACUGCCCGAUGACUAAUUGGGCUUACUUGGUCAAUAUUGUGGGACUGGUUUUUGGCAUGGGAGUUGGGGAAAAGGUCAAAGGCCUUUUUUUUUUUAAUAAAAAUUUUAUUUCAAUCAUUAGCAAUUUACAUCAAUUGUUUACUUAAACUCUAGAAUAGAUUUCAAAAUUACAAUCAAAUAGUAAACUUCACAACUAUGUUGUUAAACUGUUUUUCUAUUACAGACAAAGAAAGUGUUAUGAAGAAUCACAUAAGGGAUAGUGAUUCACAGUCUGCAUAAUGGUAUUCCAUUUAGAGUGUUUCAUUCUAGCAAUGUGCACUUGAAUUGUAAUCUCCUUUGCUCGAUCUUGGCUGGUUCUGUUCAGUUGUUGAAAUCUUCUGUUGUUUCUUUCCGUCCAGAUGCCGUAGACUAUUGCUGCAAACACCACCCCGAGGAUGGCUUUUCUGGGAUUCCUGUUAUUGACAUUGCCCGACAACCAUUGCACUUCUGAUUCCCAUGUACCAAUUGUUCUUUGAUACUUCAUCCAAUGUAAUAUACCUUUCCACAAGUUUUUGGAAUAUACGCAUUCAAAAUAUAAAUGAUCAUGUGUUUCUUCAACAUCUCUUCCACAAAGGACGCAGGAUGU
This 4192-nucleotide long non-coding RNA is filed under the name Nicotiana benthamiana. RNAcentral's name for it is "long non-coding RNA (NBEN_LNC027647)". Lineage: Eukaryota; Viridiplantae; Streptophyta; Magnoliopsida; Solanales; Solanaceae. The record is from RNAcentral.